This is an RNA transcript of Scomber scombrus (Atlantic mackerel), 1937 nucleotides long. It is a transcript of the gene named N-acetylmuramoyl-L-alanine amidase-like, with no coding region annotated. NCBI's taxonomy places the organism in Eukaryota, Metazoa, Chordata, Actinopteri, Scombriformes, Scombridae. The transcript is spliced from 5 exons. The record is from RefSeq and is a predicted model, not a curated record.
CACAACGCUGCCGUCAUGCACGUACACCUACACAACUCCUCUCAGAGGUUGUAGGGAGAUCAACAGUUUACAUUUUCAGACAGCCUGCGUGUUGAGGAGAUUUCUUCAUACCUCACUGUUUAGGUUGUCAUUUUUGUUGUUCAUAUCUACAUCUUUAGUUUAACAGUAGAUUGUUUUGUUUUGUGUUUUUAAGCAACAACAAGGAUAUGCAACAUGAUUUUUUUUGGACUGUUGUUUUUUGUUCUGGCUUUAUCAAACUUCUGUACUGUCAAUAGCAGGCCGACGGGUGUCCACCUGCGUAACAUGGACAGCUUCAUCCGUGCUGUGCAGCAGGUUGAAGACUCCAACCCCGGUCUGUCCUCCCUUGCUUUGGUCAGGGCCUUGCGGAGGACCGCCGGCCACGACGAUGCAAUGACCAUCCACUUCCUGGGUGCUUCAUUUAAUCAUAGUGAUACUGAGGUCCUCGAGACAGCUAUCCUCAAUGCUUCGUCCUUCAGCUUUUUUGACAAGGCCAUUCACCACAUUGUGACAGAUUACGGAGAGGAACGAGGCGUGGUUCUCGCUCCAGAUGGCACCACGGUUGCUCUUGCACCCUUAUUGCUAGGAAUCGAAUCAGGACUGAAAGCUCAGAUGGAGGCGACACCAGCUGUUGGUAUCUUCCCUCUCACCUUAGGCAGGACCCUGGGCCUGUCCUUCCUUAGCCUCCAGGAUUUUCCACCAUCUAGUCGCCUGGGGCCUAAUGGAUGCUGGGACAGUGUUGACCACCCUAAGGUGUUCAAGCUGUCUAGACCUGCCACUCUUGCCACUGAUGCUGUUAUUAAUGCGGGCAUGGAUGGAGCUAUACUGGGCAUGGACCUCAGCAGUCUACCUGCAUCCGAACAGCCACCGGCCCUAAGUGACAUUUUAAAAGGAUAUUAUAGUUUUAUCCUGCAUGAGGGGCAGGGUCUUGAUGGUUUGUCCAGCCAUGUUAGCCCAAGGCGGAGGGAGAUCUCCAGAACCAUUCUGGCGCCCCUCGAUCUUCACAGCCAGGUGAUGGAGACGCUAGCAUUGGUCUGGAAGUUAGAGAAGACAGAAUGGAUUAGUCUGGACACGGGAGUCGGGAAGGCGGUGAAGGAUGGAUUGCAGGCAUUUGUACACAAAUACUGGGACUGCCCUCAGUUUAUCCCUCGCUGUCAGUGGGGGGCAAAGGCCCACAAGGGUACACCUAUCCCACUGUCUCUGCCCCUGAAAUAUCUCUAUGUUCAUCACACCUAUGAGCCAUCCUCGCCCUGUUUGUCUUUCCCAAACUGCUCUCGCAACAUGAGAGCCAUGCAGCGUUUCCACCAGGAAGACCGUGGGUGGAAUGACAUUGGAUACAGCUUUGUUGUUGGCUCUGACGGCUACAUUUAUGAAGGCAGAGGUUGGAACCAACUUGGCCGACACACCAGGGGACACAAUGACAUUGGGUAUGGCGUGUCAAUCAUUGGUAACUACACUGCUACCCUGCCGUCUCGCCAUGCCAUGAACCUGCUGCGCCAUCAUCUAGUCCGCUGUGCUGUAGAUGGAGGAAGACUGGCUCCCAGCUUCACCAUCCAUGGCCACAGACAGAUGGUGAACUACACUGCCUGCCCUGGAGAUGCCUUCUUUUCAGAAAUAAGAAGCUGGGAGCACUUCAGGGUAUGACAGCUAUCACUGUUGUCUAUUAACAGUUAAAAGGAUUUCACUACACAAGGGAAACUGACUCUUCAAAAACAGAAGAAUGAAAGGACUGGCCCACUGUAAUAAAUAAAUGUUUUUAAUACCUGUCUUGUUCAUUUUUAUCAAAUUUUCCACCAAUAGGAUUCAUCACCAAGAACAUCUAACAGCAGAAAGACGUAUGUAUUGACAAAAUAUUGAUGAUGAUUCAAACUAUGCAGGGAUCACUUUACCACAACAUUAAUUAAACAAACGUAAACUUG